This 408-nucleotide long non-coding RNA is filed under the name Gossypium barbadense (sea-island cotton). RNAcentral describes it as "long non-coding RNA (GBAR_LNC002112)". Lineage: Eukaryota; Viridiplantae; Streptophyta; Magnoliopsida; Malvales; Malvaceae. The record is from RNAcentral.
GGCAGAUACAGCUUAAAGUCUUGCAGAAAUUUUACAUGCAAUCAAAUAAAGAAAUUGAUAAUCAAGUGAUUUUAUGAUAAAUACAACUAAAUGUUAGAUAUUACAAUAAUAUCAACCACGUAAUAGACCAAUAUGAAAACAGGGCCAGAAUUUGGUUAAUUUGGAUCUACUUUAUCUCAGUAAAUUGCAAUUUUUAUAAUAUAUAAAUUUGUCUUUUCCUACAACAUUAUUUUGAGAGGCCAUAAUUUGCAAAACUUUAGAAUAUGGAGUUUCAAGAAGCUACUAGAGAGAGUUGAUCUCACUCCAAAAGAUUGCUUUAGUAUUAUCAACAUCCAAACGUGCCCAUUGGUCCUGAAGAUUGCUACCAAGGUAAAUUGCAUAACCACCCCAAGCCCAGCUAACUUUUCA